Molecule: ribosomal RNA, 376 nt
Filed under: Crotalus durissus (tropical rattlesnake)
Lineage: Eukaryota; Metazoa; Chordata; Lepidosauria; Squamata; Viperidae
Description: partial 16S ribosomal RNA
Rfam family: Bacterial large subunit ribosomal RNA
Source: RNAcentral
UUUGUCUAUUAAUUGUAGACCAGUAUGAAAGGCAAAAUGAGAGCCCAACUGUCUCUUAUAAUAGAUCAAUUAAACUGAUCUCCUAGUACAAAAGCUAGAAUAUCAACAUAAGACCAGAAGACCCUGUGAAGCUUUAACUAACCUAUUAAACCAAAUAAUAGCUACUUUCGGUUGGGGCGACCUUGGAAUAAAAAAGAACUUCCAAUAUAUGACUUCCUCAUAAAACAGGCAAACAAGCCGAUACCAGACCCAGCACAGCUGAUAAUUGAAACAAGUUACUCCAGGGAUAACAGCGCUAUCUUCUUCAAGAGCCCAUAUCAAAAAGAAGGUUUACGACCUCGAUGUUGGAUCAGGACAUCCAAGUAAUGCAGCCGUU